UUAAAAACACAUUAUACUUCACUAUUGUAUCAAAUGGAUAAAAAUAGUUCUUCAUUAAGGAGGAAACCAAACGACUAGAUUAAGGCUGAAAACAUCGUAAAAGAUUAAACCAUUGUUAAGCCUUUAAGACCUAAACAUAUCAUUAAAAACAUGCUUGUAUUUGGCUCCACUUGUUAUGGGAAAACUUUGUUUUAUAGAGAUUUUUUAAAUGUUUGGGAGAUUUCAUUAGUGUUGACAAACAUGUGGUGAAACCUUUGUUUCUCAAAGGCUUUCUUGAAAUAUAGUAAACAAGCAGUCUCAUUUUGACAGAACUCAAAACUUGUAAGAGGAGCCAAUACACAUACAUAUCAAUUGGUUGCUUAGUUGAGUUAACGAGAUCGCAACAGCAGGCUUCAAAGGCACUAACCUAAACAGUGUCUUAACAUCCAUUGCUACAUAAUCACUCAACAGUUAAUCGAGGAUUUGGAACCGGAGUCCACAGACUUCUCAGUGCAUUUGAGAGGCCGAGGUAGAACUUCAGUGUCCUCUAUUUUUCCUCAGAUAAUACUGGAAUCAUGGUCUUCCUAUCCUUGCCUACAUACAAAAACGUAGACAACAAGUCAGAACAACAUCCAAAUAAAGAAAAACAAUUCAAGAAUGAAAACAAGCUCCAAGACACUUACUUUAAGAAAAGAAUACAAUCUUUGUCUUCUCCAUACCCUUUGGACUCGAACUCCUAAAAACCACAAGGUACACAUCAUCCUAGUGGUUAUCUCCCCCCUUUAGCAGUGACACUAAAUGUUUUCCUUGAACCUAUUACACAUAGUACAUCCCCUCAGCUUGGGACUUCAUAAUAUAAAUAAAUGACAAGAUGGCCGCUGAAAUCACAUAGAAUGGGAGAAAGAGGAAACUUUAAUCCAUCCUAGUGGCUGAGAGCUAUCUUUGGAUCUGUG
Molecule: long non-coding RNA, 932 nt
Filed under: Aquilegia coerulea
Lineage: Eukaryota; Viridiplantae; Streptophyta; Magnoliopsida; Ranunculales; Ranunculaceae
Description: long non-coding RNA (ACOE_LNC000531)
Source: RNAcentral